UUGAUUCUGUGCUAUUGAUUU
Caenorhabditis elegans is the source of this 21-nucleotide non-coding RNA. The record is from Ensembl. NCBI's taxonomy places the organism in Eukaryota, Metazoa, Nematoda, Chromadorea, Rhabditida, Rhabditidae.